AUUGAACGCUGGCGGCAUGCCUUACACAUGCAAGUCGAACGGUAACAGGUCUUUCGGGAUGCUGACGAGUGGCGAACGGGUGAGUAAUACAUCGGAACGUGCCUAGUAGUGGGGGAUAACUACUCGAAAGAGUGGCUAAUACCGCAUGAGAUCUAUGGAUGAAAGCAGGGGACCUUUGGGCCUUGUGCUACUAGAGCGGCCGAUGGCAGAUUAGGUAGUUGGUGGGAUAAAAGCUUACCAAGCCUACGAUCUGUAGCUGGUCUGAGAGGACGAUCAGCCACACUGGGACUGAGACACGGCCCAGACUCCUACGGGAGGCAGCAGAGGGGAAUUUUGGACAAUGGGCGCAAGCCUGAUCCAGCAAUGCCGCGUGCAGGAUGAAGGCCUUCGGGUUGUAAACUGCUUUUGUACGGAACGAAAAGUCUUGGGUUAAUACCCUGGGAUCAUGACGGUACCGUAAGAAUAAGCACCGGCUAACUACGUG
RNAcentral lists this ribosomal RNA (484 nucleotides) under uncultured bacterium. Its description in RNAcentral is "partial 16S ribosomal RNA". It matches the Rfam family "Bacterial small subunit ribosomal RNA", at positions 30 to 507 of the family's 1533-position model. The record is from RNAcentral.